This 1152-nucleotide long non-coding RNA is filed under the name Volvox carteri. Its description in RNAcentral is "long non-coding RNA (VCAR_LNC000592)". The record is from RNAcentral. Lineage: Eukaryota; Viridiplantae; Chlorophyta; Chlorophyceae; Chlamydomonadales; Volvocaceae.
UAACGAGUCGUCGUAACUAUUUGUACCGGAUCAGGCCACAUUACACAUUAUGCACAAGGGACGGCACACAAAUCACCUGGCUGAGCGCACGUACUUAGGAAUUGAUAAGAAUAAGCCGAUUUCGUCGCUUUAACAAAAUUUCCGAUUACGUUACAGGAUUGCAACGGAAAUCGGAGUGCGACAUGGAUUAUCAGUACGCCACGCGAAAGGCGACCGUUGCGGCCAUAAUAGCCUUCUCAGCCAACCACAUAGAUAAGCUGCUCCUAUAUAGCUAGCUACAUUUUACGGCGGUUUUUUUCCAACGUUACUAGAUUGCACUGAGGCCUGUCGGCCUCGACAAAACUGCGUCCGUAGUGAGGCGGUCAGAAGGAGCGGAGCCAAGAUCACAAGUAACUCCCGCUGAGCGCCGGACACCAUUGCCGUGACACUUCCCAAGCCCAGGGUAAAUAUCGUGGGUCCCUUACCAUUGCGCUACGGUGCCUGCAGCCAUACUUCGAUUCUCGGGCGCAACAGGCAGGCCGGUACAAACUGGUACAGGAGCCCCUGUACCGGCGGAUUAAGCGCUCGACAUCCGCCACCACGUUGACCUAAUCAUGAUGUACAGUCUCCACGCCUGGCUCACUGCUGAUCCAUUGCUAACCGUAGCUUAGGAUAUUACAGUCAUAGUGCGGCAACACGGCCCUUCCGGGGAGGACCGUACGGAACCAUAGGGCCGAUUCACACCGGUGGGCGGAUCUGGUUUCGGAGUUUCCGGAGCCUCCUUAUGCCAUGCCGAGCUUUGUCGUACCACGGCGGCCCCGAAAUGUUGGUUUCCAAGGACGUGAUGGAGCGAUCCGACACCAGAAGAUGCCAUAACCAUGUUCAUUAAAUUUAAAUAUAAUAAUGAUAUCAAAAUAAUUAUGUUAAUGCAAGGAAUUGCCACUUGUAUUUUUAUCUUUGUUUGGAAGAAGGUCGCGGAAGGUAGCAGAAGGGAUGCACAGUUGCCUUGUCGUGUCCCACGACAGGAGGACGCUGCGCCCCACACAACACCAAUAAAAGUCGCGUCGUGUGCCAAUGUAGGAGUGCGUCGCGCCCGUCGACGUUUUCAGGUCCCGGGGGUUCCUCAGCGGCUGUCUGCCGCGUGUGCCAGACAGCGGUGUACCCUCGCCAGCG